Long non-coding RNA from Lactuca sativa (garden lettuce), 1295 nucleotides. RefSeq lists it as uncharacterized. NCBI's taxonomy places the organism in Eukaryota, Viridiplantae, Streptophyta, Magnoliopsida, Asterales, Asteraceae. The record is from RefSeq and is a predicted model, not a curated record.
UAAUUACCUAAUGUUUUCCAAUGCAAAACGAAAGCACGUAAACGUCUACCACAUCCUAUUCUUUCUCCAUUAACUUAUCUCCAUUAUUAGUUUCCUUCCUAUUACAGGACACCAUCUCCACUUCCUCAAGAUCAAUGUCACCCAAAUCAAAUCCUAAAUCAUCACCAUCGCAUCCUCCUAGAAAACCUUAUUUCCUUCUAUUAGUUUAUGCUUCCAUCGUCUUCGCACAUAUCAAGCCCUCCACCACUUUUUGUUCAUCUUCUUGUUCAGAAAGAACCCAUGCAUACACACUCCACAUACGAACAUAAUCGAUGAUGAACACACACUCCAUAAUCGAUUUGUAAGUGUGUGGUUGAAUACUCCACCCAACAACACCAGUUUCACCGAUGAACUCCAUCGCCAGCCACCUUCAUCCACCACAACCCUUACCGGAAACAUCAUCGUUAUCUCCCUCGCUUCACCAAACUAAAUCAACCCAAAUGUGUCAAACAUCACUACAUCUCCCACUCAAGAACACACAACCACCACAUCAACGCCUGAGAAUGCCCGUGAGCCGCCGAGAAGAAACCCACUCGCCGGACGUUAUCUGAUUAACUACAUCACUACAUCUCCUACUUACUUCCUCUGAUUUUGAUCGAGAAUUGAUUUCUGGAACCAUUUUGGAUUUCAAUCAAAAAUUGAUUUCCGAAACAACUGUCCCUGCGAUCUACAACUCGACGAAGAUGAUGGUUGAGCCGCCCAUCUCUCUCCUUCUCUGGCGAUGUUGUUCCUACUCUCUGAUGGCGGCGACACUUAGGGUUUCAAACGAUAGUUUCAGAUCCGUCGCCGUUCAGGGUUUCAAGCGAUGGCGGCGACAACAAAGAGGAAGAUGGAUGGUCGAUGUGUCUCCAACCUCCUGAGAAUCGACGAGCACCACCGACGACACAUCACAACUUCAGAUCCAAAGUUUUUUUUUUUUUUUUUUUUGCUGAAUGUGACUUGAUGUUGAUUUUAGGAUUUAAAGUUUUUUUUUGUUUUUUUGUUUUCUUUGGUGUGUAUGUAUGAGAGAUAAGAGAGAGAUAAACAUAGAAUAAAUGGUGGUGGUGGUGGCGGAGAGUGGUGGUCGAUGGUGGUGGGUCAUUAUUUAUUUGUGUGUGAAAGAAGAAAGGAUGAGAGGAAGAAGAUGAUGGUGGGAGAUUGUAUUCUUUACACACACACACACACAGAGAGACAGAGACAGAGACAGAGACAGAGACAGAGAGAGAGAGAGAGAGAGAGAGAGAGAGAGAGAGAGAUUUAAUUUUUAUUUUUUUAAA